UACAGAGGUCCCAAGCGUUGUUCGGAUUCACUGGGCGUAAAGGGUGCGUAGGUGGUGAGGUAAGUCGGAUGUGAAAGCUCCGAGCUCAACUCGGAAAUGGCAUUGGAAACUACCUUGCUGGAGGUUUGGAGGGGGGACUGGAAUACUUGGUGUAGCAGUGAAAUGCGUAGAUAUCAAGUAGAACACCAGUGGCGAAGGCGAGUCCCUGGACAACACCUGACACUGAGGCACGAAAGCUAGGGGAGCAAACAGG
RNAcentral lists this ribosomal RNA (253 nucleotides) under uncultured bacterium. RNAcentral's name for it is "partial 16S ribosomal RNA". It matches the Rfam family "Bacterial small subunit ribosomal RNA", at positions 524 to 776 of the family's 1533-position model. RNAcentral also lists the same sequence under 1 other name. The record is from RNAcentral.